UACGGAGGAUCCAAGCGUUAUCCGGAUUUAUUGGGUUUAAAGGGUGCGUAGGCGGCUUUGUAAGUCAGUGGUGAAAUACGGUAGCUCAACUAUCGAGGUGCCAUUGAUACUGCGGAGCUUGAGUACAGAUGAGGUAGGCGGAAUUGACGGUGUAGCGGUGAAAUGCUUAGAUAUCGUCAAGAACACCUAUAGCGAAGGCAGCUUACUAGGCUGUAACUGACGCUGAGGCACGAAAGUGUGGGGAUCAAACAGG
This 253-nucleotide ribosomal RNA is filed under the name uncultured bacterium. RNAcentral describes it as "partial 16S ribosomal RNA". It matches the Rfam family "Bacterial small subunit ribosomal RNA", at positions 524 to 776 of the family's 1533-position model. The record is from RNAcentral.